GGCAGUAUAUGCUGGAGCCUGAGUAUAACCAGCACCAUAAGAACUGUUGCUGUAUGGAGGUGGUGCCUGACCAUAUGCAGGCUGACCACCCUGAGGUGCACCAUAUGUUUGAGAACCAUACCCUGGUUGCCCUGCACCAUAUCCCGAAGGUGGUGCUCUCUGAGCACCAGAUUCUGGUUGGGGUUGAGAAUAACCGGAAGGUGGAGGCUGCGCAGGAUAUGCUGACUGACCAUAGCCUCCUACCGCACUAGGUGACUGCGACUGUCCAUAAACAGGAGGAUUACCACUUGGCUUUUGAGAUUGUGGGGCUCCAUAACCAGGUCCGUAACCUGGCUGUGGUUGACUUCCAUAAGCAGCUUGGGAUGUAGGUGGAACCCCAUAACCUGACUGAGGAGUUCCCUGAGGUGGGUAGCUAGCAGUGUUUGAGCUGGGCUGUUGGCUGGUAGGAUAACCUUGCUGUGGCUGUUGGGUAGAUGGAGCUUGGGCUGAAUCUCCCUGUGAAGCAUAGCUCGCAGUGUGGCCCUCUUGUGCUGGGUUACUGCCACUACCAUAGCCAGUAACGGAGCCAUAGCCUUGCUGCUGAUCAUAUGUUGGUGGUUGUCCAUACCCUGAUUGAGAUUGUGCAUUAUAUGCAUUAUAGCUGUCCUGAGCAUAACCCUGUCCGGGUUGGCUAUAACCAGAAGAAGGUGGUUGACUAUAAUUGUAUGCAGAGCCAUCAGCUGGAGGUGCAGGACCUCCAGGAUUUUGUGGUUGCUGUGGCUGUUGACUAUAGUAAUCAUAGCCACCAGCAUGAGUUGACUGUUGGUGAGAUGGUGCAGAAGACUGGUCCCAAUUGGUGGAAUAUCCACCUGGUUGUUGGGGAGGAUAGCCCGAAUAUUGUUGCUGAGGCAUGUUAUACUGAGGUGAUGGACCAGAAUAUGCUCCAGGUUGCACAUAUCCAUAACCAGGUUGCUGCAUUGGUGCAGGGGGGGCCCAGUUAGAGGGUGGUCGAGAUUGGUAACCUUGCUGAGGAUACCCACCAGACAUUGAAGGAUUUCUAAGACGAUUCUGUGGAUUCAAAUUGAAAACCAAAAUAAAGGGAGUGAGUUCACCCAAAUUUCCACACAAGACAAGUAUAGGAAGCAACAUAUGCACACAUACACAGGUUAAACUUACAAAUGCAAAAAUCAACAUGUAAUGAACACGAGAUAAAGGGUAUAUAUAUUAUCUUGCAUUAACGGGUUGCAUACAUGAUCAGAAAGGGAUACGAAUACCUACAUACCGUACUGGUUCGUGAUAAAACUGAGUUACUCCAGCAGAAGCACACCCUUUCCCUAUUCGAAUUGAAUGGGUACAAAAGAAAGCACAGACCAUAGAAGCAAACAAUCAUUCAAUAUUUAUUGCCUUGAAAAGGCAAUCCAUCAUAUAGUAUAUCAAUAUGCAAUAUCUUACUCCAAUUGUUACACUAUACAAUAUAUCAUUCAUAUUCAUAUUAAUUCAACAAGAGUGACUGGACUACAGAUAUUUCACACCCUAUUAAGAUGAAUGCGCAACUCCAAAUUCAAAUAUACAGACUGUUGAAACAACUUUUCUGUGCUCCCAUGUACAUUCUCUCAUCCUUUGUACAACCCAUUCUAAUAGUCCAACCUCGGGAUCAUCAGUUAAAAACAAUAAAAUUAAAUAUUAUUUUAAUGGAACAUGAAUUAGAAAGAAAAGAAAAAUAAUUGAAUGAGGCAGAACAGAAGUGGCACAAAAUGUAUAACAGACAAAUCUUAAUAGAAAUCUUAAACAUAACUGGUUAGUUAAGAAAACUAUUUAACACUGGACAAGAAUAAUAAAACUGGACAAGAAUAAUAGUAUAGGGAAAAUAAUUAAAGUGCUGAACGACGGACAAAUUUCAGGUUACCUAUGCCAAAUGUAAGUCCAGUAUAAGAUACGAGGAUAAAAUACUACUCCAAGUACACUAAGGUUCUUUUUAGAAAUAAACUGAAAAGCACAAGAGACCUAGUUGAAAACUAUUUCAACAUAAUUCAACAUUGAGUCUAAUAAUGACACUAUAGUCAAAAAGUAUUAGUAGGAGACUUACUGCCCUUGAUAAUAAAUAUCAAAACUGAGAUUUAGAACCAUACCAGGGCAUGCUGAGGGAACACCAACAAAAGGAUUCAUGUUGGUGUCACCAAUGGUCCAAUAGACACUAACCCUACAACAGUCCCAAUAACAAUAUCAGUCAUAGGAUACACAAUUAAUAAGCAUAUUCCACUGUCGAAAGGUUAUAAUCUCAAUGAGUAUCCAUCUGGCCCAAAAAUAUUUCAUAAUAACAGUAGCCUUCAGAGCACCAGGAAUCUAAACCAACAAAAACAAUGAAAGACGCACCUCACCAAAGCACUGGGCUAAGUGAAAAACACAAUUAAAAUACGGUCUUUGUAAAUAUAUGGUAUCUUGGUCAAGAAAACUGACAGGCCAAUUCUAAAAUAUUGCUACCAACGUCCUUGAUUCGUGGAUGUAUAAAAGAGAUAAUGGCUAAGACGUAUUAGCUAAUUAUAUAGAGCAGACUACACAUACACAAACAUAAAGACACAGUUGACAAGUCAGACCCUGAAAGUUCAUCAUGACCAUCACCUAAUCCUAGACUAAACAUAAAGGAAGAUGCGUAUUGCUAAUAUAUCAAGACUGUUAAUCGAACAAGAUACCAUACAAUUGUUAACAACAUUAUACAGCUAAUAAUUGAUGGCUAUAGCAGUGAACGGUCUCACUAAUCAUGUUUCCACUUGGCCAGCUGACGCAACAACACUGAGGAGUUGGAGAUUACAAGCAAGAACAUCGUAACAGCCAUUAGUCUUCUACCUUUGUGCAUUAUUUUGCAUAAGUCUUGAAACACUUGCACAAUAUGAAAAUAUGUACUAAUUUUCUUUUGAGAACAAUACAGUAGGUAACAGAGAUCCGAAUAAUAUUAAUGUAUCAUAUAAUAAAGACCACUUGUUAAAGGCACAUUAGGCUCUGAAAAAAUUUCUACUUCCUUAAACAUACUCUAUCAUCUAAGCUGCUUUGGAAGAGAGAUCAAUGCAUCCCGAAUAUGCAUCAAGUUACUAAUAAUUGUCAUACAGCUAAGCUGCUUCGGUCCAGAUCAAAACAUCAAUAAUAUACAAUGUAUAAUAAUGGUCACAGUGUUAUGCUGUAUCAAUAAUAAGAUCAAGGAAUUAAUUAAUAUGAACAGAAUAAAUGUCAUUUAUGCAAAACUAAAGUGAAAACCAUCACAUGAUUUACCAAAACUAUUUUUUCCCUGCAAAGGAACAAAUCGGAGAGUACAAAAAUCAUGUAUCAUGUUACAGGAAUCAAUCAGAUCUAACUUUAUAUUUUAAUAUCAUAAAAAAUAAAAAGACCCAACAGGCAAUGACAAGCACACCGUAUUCAUCUCACAAUAACAUAAAGCUUGCACGUAAAUCAACCUAGUUUGAUCAAACAGUCUAGAUGAUAAAUAGAUUGUGCAACAUACAGAGUACAAAACCCAGUAGAAAAACAGCAAUUUUAAACACUAGACUAGACUUGGCCUUACCAGGCAGAUAUGCCUAAGCCAAAUCUGGCAAAAAGAAGCACCAUUAACAUACCUCGCCACUGAUGAUUUGAUUAACCAACUCCUUUGCAGACUCAAUUUGCUCAGGUGUCCCAUCAACUUUUAAUGUUCUUUCAGUUGAUGUGUCACCUGGAGGAAGAUGCAGAGGUAUCACCUGAAAAAACAUAUAAACAUUAGCCAAAAGUCAUAAAAGUUGGCCGUUAACACAAUCUCUUUUCAAAUUAGUUGCAAUCACAAAGCUACGGUAAAAAAAAACAUAACAACAAGGCUACACUAACUAUGAUUUAUCACCGAUAUCUAAUACACAAAUAAGAGAACAGCGUUCUAUAUAUCACUUAUAAGUACAAACCUGAAUCCGUGCUCCUGUAGAAGCUUGCAUAUUCUUUAUAGUUUCUCCUCCUUUGCCAAUUAUAAGGCCAACCUGAAGAUGCACACGAUAAACAUAUCAACCCAAAGAGAUAGAAAAAAACAGAUCUGAACACGGAAAUUACGCAUGACAUUGUACAAAGCAUACACUCAUAUCUCCCUUUCACACCUUAUUAUUUGGAAUUCUCAUGACAAAUUCAUCUGACCCAGCUUGUCCAGUCAGUCUUCGAGCAACAAUGCCAGAACCUCCAGAUUCAGCCUGGUACAACAACAGUUGUCAUCGUAUAUAUUGCAAUAAUUAAACAUGUGAGAAAUUUAUCAAGAAACAGACCUCCUUCGUAAGAUUAUCGUAACGUCAAAUCUAUGAUAAACGAAAUUUAAUACAUACAUGAUUCACAGAAAAAAAAAUAGUAUAAAAUGUGAUUAACCUCAGCAAGAACUUCAUUUAUGAGUUUCUCCGCAGAAGCAAUUGCCUCGGGAGUGCCCAUAAGCUCAACCGUUCUUGAAGUAGAAUUAGGGUCGGCGUCCAUAUCGCGAGUAACUUGAAUUUUAGCACCAGACUGCAACUGGAGAUACUUAAUAGUCUCUCCACCUUUGCCAAUAAUCACACCAACCCUGCCGUUAGGGAUAUCGAUCUUCUUGCUCGUUCCUUGGUGACUGUAGGAGACGGGAGGAACGGCUGAGUACUGAGGCUUCGCAUCUACGUUCACGGAAAACAGAGUUUAUAAAACCCUAACCUAAACGAGAAGAAUAGUGGAGCAGAGGGGAUAGCUAGUUACCGUAAGAAUCGAAGCCGGAGGUAGGAGCGCCGUUAUCGGGUUUGGCACGCUUGGCGUCGAGCGGGGGAGGAGGAGCAACGCUGAGGAGGCGAGUGGCGACUUCUUGAGCACGCUGCUUGGCAAGCUCGAUGCCGGUAGCGGGGCCGGCGGAGAAGCCGGUGGGUCUAUCGGAGGAUUGGUCUUCAUACUUGCGUUUGAGGGGCGUAGAGUCGUUGGGAGAUGAAUAGUGGGCUUCGUCCGCCAUUGGCACAAACCCUAAAGACGUUAGGUGUGUAAGAGAGGGUGGUGAUGUUAUUUAUAAUAUAUAGUGGUGGCUAGUGUGACCCCUACCAUGGGUGGGGCAGGGUAGAAAAAAAGGAGAUAUUUUGCAUCCCUUCGCUUGAGGCACCUUUACGUCAUUCAUACAAUUAUACAGAUAAAACUAUUUUUAUCUCUAUUUUUCUAUCUAUCAUCUUAUUAUUUUUAAUUUUUCUAUCUAUUUUUUAUUUUUAAGAUUUUAUAUUUAAGAUAAACAUUUUGAUAUUAUCGGUGUAUCUACUACUAAUUAAUAUUAAUUAACUUUUAAUUUUUUAUAAUUAUAUCUUGUGUUUUUAUUUAAAAUUAACAUGAUUACAUCAUCAAUAAUAAUAAAAAUAAAACUAAUUUAUGUUUAUAGAUUCAACUUUUAUGUUAUUGUAGGGUUUAAUUUUUUAUUUUCUUCAUUUUUAAAAAAUUAAACUAAACAUUUUUAAUUUACUACUUUUUUAUUUUUAUUUUGUAAAAAAUCAUUUUUUUAUUUAUUAAUUAUAUUUCUAACUAUUUAAAACAUUAAAUUAUUUUUUUAAUGCAUUCAAAAAUAAAAUUAUCAAAAAAAUUAAUUUAUUAAUUUUAAUUUUUUUACUUUUGAAAUGGUGUUAGAUAGGGAUAUAAAAAUAAAAGAGUGUUAGGUAAGAAAAUAAAGACAAGUGCGGGAAAAUAAAAAUGUAAAUAGUGUUGUUAUAUGAGGGAUUGAAUCUACAAUUCUCACUUCAUUUCAACUUUUUCGCUGUUUCUUUAAUCAAUAUUUUUUAAUAAUAUUCAUACAAAAAUAAAGGUAAUUUUUUAAUGAUAUGUUUUUUUAUUAACAAUGAUAUAUUUUAUUAAAUAAGAGUUUAUUUGCGAUAUUUUUUGUAAACUUUAUUCGGUUAAAUUGAAAAAAUUAGUAUUGAGUGACUUUUUAUGGAUUUUUAAAAUUAAAAAAAAAAAUAAAGAAGCCUAUAGGAUAAAAAUAAAUAUGUUGCUUAUGGAUUCAGUUGAAAUUAUCUUAAAGAGAAACUUUAUUUGAAUUAGUUAUAAUAAGUUUAUUUAAUUAAUGUAUUAGUAUAUUAACAAUUACCAUAUACAAUUUAGAUAUUGGCAUUCUCAUUAGUAUUUUUUUAAUAUUUUUUACCGUGAGAUCAUACAACUGAUGUAAUGGUCAAGGUUAACGGCCCCACGACCGAUAGUUCAAGUCCAGUUAUGCUCAAUCAAGGUCGACGAAGUUAAUUCGUGAUUAGGAGUCAAGUAAUGCAUCCCUAAGCAUGAUUCAGCCCCUUAACCCGACCCAAUAAAAAAAGUCAAUCAAAGAUAAUAUAAGAUUUGAUUCAAAUAUUAUAUGUGAAACUAAUAUAAGAUUUGAUUAAAAUAUUAUAUGUAAGACUAAUACAAGAUUUAUAAAUAAAAUUUAUGAACUCGACUUUAUAAAUAGAUUAAUUAUAUAUAUACUAAUAGAUGUGAACAUACAUAUUUAAAAUUAUAUAUGACUUUAACUAAAUAUUUAUUUAUUAAAAGUAUUUAUUAUUCUAGCUGAAUCCUGAUAUCGAACAACUUUUUACAAAUACUCCACACGUAUUUAGUACCAAGACUUCUUUGAUACUCUCUGUUUGAAUUGAGGUGGAAAUUUGUGAGGAAGGGAGAUAGUGAAUUGAAGAAGAUUAUGGGGAAUGUGUGAUGUUGUUUGGAUUGAGGGAUGAUAGAGUGGAUUUGUUAUGAUUGUUUAUUAAAAUUUGUAAGUGAUGAGAUAGUUAUGACAUAAUUUAGAAAUUAUUUUAAAGGUGUAAAAUGCAAAUUUACAAAUUUAUCUUUGUCAUUAAAAAAUAUUUUAAUAAUGAGUUAGGUUUUUUUUUUUUGUAAGUUUGAGUUAAUUUUUUUUCUAAUAUAUAAUAUUCAUAAUUACUCUUAUUUUGUAAUACAAAAUAAUUCCGUGUUAAAUUAAAAAAAUAUAUUAAAUAUAUUAAAAUUUAUGAAAAUAAUAUUUAUUAUUAUAUACAUUUGUUAUUUUAUAUAAUUAUAAAUGUUUUGUUGAUAUGUCAAAUAAUAUGAAUAAAUUUAGCAACUUGUUCUUCAACUAUUGAAGGAUAUGCAUCCUUAACAAGUUGCCCUAAUUCGUUUACAUAAUAUUGAAUGAAUGCUUAUGGUUACAUGCGAAUAAUGUCAUGAGAACAUCCCGUGUGCACCAAAUACUCCAUCAAUUAUUGUUUGCAAGUUGAGUAUAUAUUUUCAAUUGUUCUUAUAUUUUUUAAAUGAGAUUCAUGUUCACACGAGCAAUAUCAUUAUAAAUUGCAAUUGUAUCAUCAAAUUCUUCUUUGUCGUUUCAAAGUGGUUUCCAAUUGUUUUCGUUAUCCAUCUAAUAUUUACCUUAUCAUUGACAAUCAUAAAAUAGUUUAUCGAUACACAUCAAAUAAUUUAUGCUACGAAUAACUCUAACCACUUAAAGUUGGAGUUAGUGCAAUAGUACUAAGGUUAAUAUUAGAGUGAUGUGAAGAAUAAUGUUAAGAUUAAGACGCACUUUAAUAUUUAUAAUUAAAUCUAUAAAAAAAACACAUAAAAAUAAACAAAACAGUAAAAAUGUAAAAAAGCAAAUUUAAAUUUAAAUGAUUCACUAUAUCUUGUUAAUAAAAAAAUGUAACACUAAACACACAGUAAAAAAAAAAAAUAUAUAUAUAUAUAUAUUAAAAACAAUAAAGACAUUGAAUAAAAAAAACAGUGAACACAAAGUAAUAAGAAAAAUGUAAAUAAAUUUAUAAAAAUUAAAAAUAAUAGAUGUAAAUGCAUUUAUAAAAAACUAAAAAUAAUUACCACAUAAAAAAAAACACUAAACACCUAAAAAAAUUUAAACACAAUUAUUAAAAUUAAAAAUAGUAAACAAAUAAUAAAAAAAAUGUAAAAACAAAAACACAAAAAACACAUAAUAACAAAUAAAUAUACAAAUAUAUUUAUAAAAAAUAAAAACAGUAGUUACAUAAAUUAAAAAGACAUGAUAAUAAAAAAUAUAAAACAUUAAACAAAUAACAAAAAAAAUACAGAACAGUAAUCAAAUAAUAAAAAAUUAAACAGUAAACACAUAAUAUAAAAAAUAUAAAUACAUUUAUAAAAAUAAAAAAUUUAUAAACACAUAUAAAAACAAAAAAAAUUAAAUACAUUUAUAAAAAUUAAAAUCUGUAUGUAAACCCAUAAAAAAGCAAACAAGACAAAAAAAACCUAAGAAAAAAAUUUAAAUACAAUUAUUAAAAUAAAAAAACAAUAAACACAUAAAAAAACUAAACAGUUUCUUGUUAUUAAAAAAAAUUAAAAAACAUUAAACACAUAAUAUAUAUAUAUAUAUAUAUAAAUAUAAUUAAGAAAUAAGUAAAUACAAUAAAAUAAAAUAAAAAUAAAAAAACUAAACAAUAAACACAUAAUAAAUAAAAAAAUAGUAAAAAAACAAUAAAGACAUAAUAAUAAAAGAAAAUGUAAAUACAAUUUUAAAAAAUUAAAAAUAAUAAACUACUUUUUUUAUGAAAUACAUUUAUAAAAUUAAAAAAUAGUAAAUACAAAAAAAAAAGUGUAAAUCCAUUUAUAAAAAUUAAAUACAGUAAACACAUAAUAAAUAAAAAAGUCAAAUAUAUUUAUAAAAAUUAAAUACAAUAAAUACAUAAGAAAAACUAAACAAUAGUACAAAUGCAACAAAAAAAUGUAAAUACAAUUAUUAAGAUUAAAAACAGUAGACAUAUAAAAAAAAUAAACAGUAUCUUGUUAAUAAAAAAGAUAUAAAAACAAUAAAGACAUAAUAACAAAUAUAUAUAUAAAAAUUAAAAACAAUAAAACAUAGAAUAAAAAAAACAACAAACACAAAAUAAUAAAAAAUAUAAAAACAGUAAACAAAUAAUAAUAAAAAUAUAACUUUUUUAUAAAAAAUAAAAACAAUAAACACAUCAACAAAUGUAAAUGCAUUUAUAACAACUAAAAAUGGUAUUAUUAAAAUUAAAAAUAAUAAACACAUAAAAGUAAUAAUAAAAAUGUAAAACAUUAAACACAUAAUAAUAUAAAAAAACAUUAAAGUUAUAAAAUAAAAACUAAACCGUAAACAUAAUAAUAAAAAUAUUUAAUUACCUUAUUCGUCCCUAUAUUUGGGGUCAAUAUUCAAUUUGAUACCGUGGUUUUUAAAAAAAUCAAUUUGGUACCGUGAUUUAAAAAAUAAUCAAUUUGGUCCCUAUGUCUUUUAAAAUGUAUCCAAAUUGGUCUUUCCGUUAAAUCCCUCCUAACAGCUAACAGCGUAAGGUGUUGCUUAUGAUAAAGAGAAUGUCUAUAUGGGGAGAGAGAUGUGAGAUUAUUAUUAUUAUUAUAGUUAUUAUUAAUACUAUUAUUAUUAUUGUUAUUUUUAUUACUAUUAUUAUUAAUAUUAUUUUUCUUAAUAUUAUUACUAUUAUUGAUAUUUUUAUUACUAUUAUUACUAUUAAUAUUAUUUUUCUUAAUAUUAAUAUUAUUAUUAUUACUAAUAAAAAAUAAAAUAAAAAUAGUAAUAAUAAUAAUAUUAAGAAUAAUAAUAAGAAAAAUAAUAUUAAUAAUAAUAAUAAUAAUAGUAAUAAUAAUAUUUAUAUUAAGAAUAAUAAUAAUAAUAAUAAUAAUUCUCAAUCUCACCUCUCCCUCCACAUAAACACUCUAUCUCCCACAUAAACACUCUCUCUAACCCACAUUCUUUCUGUGUCACAUAAGCAACACCUACGCUGUUAGGUGGAACUUAACGGAAAUGACCAAUUUGGAUACAUUUUAAAAUAUAUAGGGACCAAAUUGAUUUUUUUAAAAACCACGGUACCAAAUUGAAUAUUGACCCCAAAUGUAUGGACGAAUAAGGUAAUUAAAUAUAAUAAAAACUGUAAAACCAAUAAACACAUAAUAAUAAAAAAGAAAAGUAAAUACAUUUAGAAAAAUAAAAAACUGUAAACACAAAAUAUAAACUAAACAAUAAAUACAUAUAAAAGAGUAUAAAUAUUGUACUGUUACAGUCUAUAGGACUGAUAGCACGUCUCGAACUUCGUCACUGGAUCGACCGAGUCCCUAUGGCCUGUAUCUAUAAGGGCAAUCGAAAUCAUGAUUCCAAUUACUCUCCAGCAAGAUCAGCAAGGCUAAUCCAUGAUUAGGAGCUAGGUAAUGCAACCCUAAUCACGGUCCAACUCCCUAAUCCAACCCAACAAGAGAAAACUCGUCAAAGGUAAUAUAAAUAACACAUAUUCUAAGGAUCAGGUACAUUAUCUACCGUGCUCUAGCUAUCGAGUGUCGAACCCUUUUGUUGACUUUAGCGUCAAAGUGUCUUCUGCAUGUACUCUCAUUCGGUACUCACGAGACGACCGAGAACCGAGGCUAGGAAGGAAAGGAGAGGAACGAGUAAGAAAGGAAGUUGAAGAGUAGCACAACCGACCCAUAAAAAAGAAGAAGACGAGUUCUCUCAAUAGUUUUUUAGGCCCCAUCCCCGAACGAAAAUAAAUACAUUUAUUAAAAAUAAAAACAGUAAACAUAAUAAAAAAAUAGUUACCACACUUAAUAGAAAAAAACUCUAUAUAAAAAAAAAUUAUUAAAAACUUACGUGAAGGUGAAGGCAGAGAAGAAACCGUGUGAUAAACAUAACCAACCAAAGAACCACUGCAAUCAGACACAAGAAGAUGAACCAAGAUCCAAUCUGAAAAAAAAAAAAAAAACAGAAUGAAUUCCAAUAUUUUUCUCAAAUAAUGACUGAUAAGAUUAAUAAAAAAACUCACACAAAAAUUAAAAUAAAAUGCAACAAUUGUUAUGAUUUAAAGAAGAGGACGGCAACGAAUUUUCGAAACUUUAGACGAGUAAAAAGAAACGAGAUAGGUGAAUUAUAUAGCAAAACCUUUUACUAUAAUAGUAAAACAAAAUUAAGAAAAAAUGUUUAAUUAUUUAUUUUUUAUAUUUUAUUAAAGAAGGAAAUAAAUGGUUAUGUAUGGAGAGGGAAAAGAAUGAAAUUUGGGGAGGAAGGAAUAUGAGAGAAGAAAAGGAAAAGGAUAAAGUGUUGGAAGUGAGGAUUAAUUAUUUCUUAAUUAGAUAUUUAUUUAAAAAUAAUAGAAAUUAAUUUAAAAAUUAAAAAAGAAAAAUUUAAAUAAUUUUUAAUUUAUUUAAUAUUGUAAUUAAUUAUUUUGGUAUUUAAAAGUUGUUUUUUAUUUGAUGAUUGUCUUGUAGUAAUAGAUGACAAACCAUUAUAAUAUUAUAAUAAUAUUUUAUUUUAAAAAUUAAAUUAAAUUAUUAAAAUAUUAAUUUAUUUGUUUGUGAAAUUAUACUGUAUAUAGUGUCCACAUAUCACCAAUCAUUUAAAAUUCUCUACAUCACAAUUUACUGUCUUUUUUGUUUAGUAUGUGAAUUUAUCAGCUUAUUGUGAUUUUAGUUUCUCAAUUUACCCACAUCCCAGGUUAAUAUCUUUUUAAUUCCUAAAAUUAGUUACACAAUGUCAAUUAAGAGAUUAAAGUAGAAAUAAAAUGCUAAAUUCAGAAACUAAAAUACUCAUAAAUAAUUAAAUUCGGAGCUAAAACGAUAAAAUACAGUAAAGUCUGGGAUAAAAAAUUAAUAAAUAAAUAAUGAUAAAGUUAUAGUUUUACCUUAAUUUUUGAAUUUUAGUACUUUCAAAAACUGUUCUUUACCUGUUUUGUGCGACCAACUUAGCACACUGUUGUGUUUCGCGGCUGGGCUGCUUCAUUUCUCUACCACCACCAACAACCAUCGUCUUGUCACCUCAGAGUCAUCUACAGUUGUUCUUGGGGAUUUUGUGUUUUCAUUCACAUUUCACACUUACAUUAAAGGUAAAAACGAUUUUGAAUAUAUAGAUUUUGUUUGCAUAUUGCACCCAUUUUCUUUGUAUUCUUGGCACUGGCUUUUACUUUUUGGAAAAAGGGUUUGUCUCUAACAACGUGAGAAACUGUUGGAAUACCUGUUGGGAGAGAUUAAGCAUAGUGUUUGAAGCAAAAUUGUAUCUUGGAAUGGGAAACAAAAAGUUUAGACAACAGGGUUAACAAAACAAUACUCAUAUCCAUUCUCUCUAUAUUGGUUGUCAUGUACCUGGGUCUGAACAGUUAUACUAUGUUGCAUCUCAGUUCAAAAUGGUCAAAUUUUUCAUUUUCAUCAAUGUCAUUUGUUAUCAAUGUCAUGAUAUUUAGUUUCUCCAUUUGUUGUGUUUAAUGUUUGCUUUAUGAAAACAAGAGAGAUUUAUUCAUUAAUGCUAAGUAGUUAACUCUCUAUGGACUGUAGUAAUCUAAACAGUUUAGCUUUUUCACUUUCCAUUAUCAGUCCUUCUACACCUCUUUCUUCCAAGUCUUGCUACCAUGAAAAGUAGACAUGUCUAUAAUUAUGUGGUUCUGCAUCUAAAUUAUAAUAUAACACUAUAUUAAUAAAUUAGUUUCCAAAAUUAUGGAUUCUAGUUAAUUAGUAUAUGAAAUUGUAAAAGUAUAAUUGGAGUCAUCAAAGUUGGAGGAGUCAUUAUAAUAUUUCAGUACAAGAAUUAAAUUGGCUAAUGAUCUAGAACUAAAUUAUUUGUCAUUUUUUUAAUAUCUAGAAUUCAUAUAACAUUUUAUAAAUUAAAAAAAAACCAUAUGUAUAAAUGAUUUUAUUCAACAAGAGAAUCAUUAAUAAUGUAUUCUUUGUUCACCUCUGGACUCUGUCACUCUAUGUGUGUAUGUGUGUAUACACAGUCAAUUUUAAAUUUUAAAUAUGGUUUUAAUUCUUGUAAUCUACUUUCUGAUAUGUUUCUGGUCACUCUACACAAACUCAGCUUAUCUCUCAAUCUUAAAUAAUUAUGAUUUAAUUUACUGUUUAAAGAAAAAAAUCAGUUAAGUUGUAAAAAAAAAUUGUAUUGUUUUUUUCAUUUUUUUUUUAAAUUUUUAGAAAAUUAAACCAAAUUUUCUUUAAUUAUUUACUUUUAUUUUUUCAUCUUUUGUCCUGAACUUUAAUUGUAGAAUGUCCUAAAAAAACUAAACUCUGGAGAGCAUUAUUAAAAAGAAAAAAGGGAGAGAAUUGGUUGCUUGCUCGCGAAGUAUGAGGGUCUAAACAAAGUUAUAAUACUAUAUUUCCCAUUAUGAAUCUUUUAAAGAAGCAUUUUGUUUCAGUUUAUCGUAUACUCUUGGUUGACAAGUUUGUGAAGGAAAGGCCCCGAACACACAUUCAGAGCUUUAUUCACCAUUACUUCAAGGUAAAAGUUCUGAAUCAAAACCUCAUAUAUCUUUCUUCUGUAUCAAGUACAUGUUCUGUAAAUUGUUUUCUAUGACUGACUUCACUUGUUUUGAAUUUGAACACAUUUUAGAAUCACUUGAAAGAAAAUGGCAGAACAAAAUAAGGAAUGGGCUGUGGGAAUUGACCUUGGCACAACAUACUCAUGUGUUGCUGUAUGGCUAGAGGAACACUGUCGAGUGGAGAUAAUUCACAAUGAUCAGGGCUGUAGAACAACGCCUUCAUCUGUGGCUUUCACAGAGAAUCAAAGAUUGAUCGGUGAUGCUGCUAAAAAUCAGGCUGCUAUUAACCCAACUAACACUGUCUUUGGUAAAUAAUUGCUUUUUAUUGCAUGUGAAUUCAUUUAAAUGUUUAAACUAGUUAUUUGUGUUGGCUUUUAGUUGCAAAUGAUACCUUAACAUUCAUCAUUUACUUUGUGCCAAAAAGUAUACUUUUUGUCCAGUACUCUAAUUUGUUCUAUAACUUUAAAUUAAUAAAUAUCAUUCCAUAAGACUAUUUUGAUUAGCAUCAUUGAGGAAUAGCCUUAAAUUCGUGCUCGAUUAAUGACUAAUUUUGCAGAUGUGAAAAGGUUAAUCGGCAGAAGAUACAGUGAUCCCAUUAUCCAGGACGAUCUAAAGUUGUGGUCAUUUAAGGUCAUUGCUGAUUCUGAUGACAAACCCAUGAUAGCUGUUUCAUACAAAGGUCAGGAGAAACACAUUUCAGCUGAAGAAAUCUCAUCUAUGAUCCUCACAAAGAUGCGGGAGACUGCAGAAGCGUACUUGGAAUCAGGGGUUAAGAAUGUUGUGGUUACUGUGCCUGCUUAUUUUAAUGACUCUCAGCGACAAGCAACCAAAGAUGCUGGUACCAUUGCUGGCCUCAAUGUCAUGCGGAUAAUCAAUGAACCCACAGCUGCAGCUCUGGCAUACGGCCUUGACAAGAGAGCAAAAUGUGUUGUUGGAGAGAGAAAUAUUUUCAUCUUUGAUCUUGGUGGUGGUACAUUUGACGUGUCUCUGCUCACAAUCAAGGGUGAUGUCUUCAAAGUCAAGGCCACUGCUGGUGACACGCACCUUGGAGGAGAGGACAUGGAUAACAGAAUGGUAAAGUACUUCGUUGAGGAGUUCAAGAGGAAGAACAAAGUUGACAUCAAUGGGAACCGGAGAGCCUUGAGGAGGUUGAGAACUGCUUGUGAGAGAGCAAAAAUAAUAAUAAUAAUUGAAUGCGGACUGACCCACAAACUCAUGGGCCAGCACUUAUGCAGAGCGAGACCGAAAAUCACUCGUGCAAGAUUUGAGGAGCUCAACUUGGACCUCUUUAAAAGGUGUAUGGAGACAGUAGAUAUGUGUCUUGUUGAUUCUAAGAUGGACAAGAGUGAUGUAGAUGAUGUUGUUCUCGUUGGUGGUUCUUCUAGGAUUCCCAAAGUGCAACAGCUAUUGCAAGACUACUUCAAGGGGAAGGAACUGUGCAUGAGCAUCAACCCUGACGAGGUUGUUGCUUAUGGAGCAGCAAUUCCCAACUUAGUGUUAUUAGAUGCUACACGGCUGUCACUUGGUAUAUCUUUAAAAGGAGAUCUCAUGAGUGUUGUGAUUCCUAGGAACACCACCAUUCCUGUUGAGAAGAAAAAAGUAUAUGUUAAGAUCAGAAGAUUUCCCAAUCUUAUGUCCAAAGUAAAGGUUUACGAGUGUGAAAGGACAAUAGCAAGUGAUAACAAUUUGCUUGAUUUUUUUAAUCUUUAUGGCAGUCCUUAUGCUCUUUGAGGCCAUCCUUUAACUGUAAGUUUCAGUAUAGAUGUUGAUGGUACUUUAAGUGUAAUUGCUGAGGAAGAAAGCAGUGGAAGUAAGAACGGGAUUACUGUAACCAACGACAAGGGAAGACUAUCAACUCAACAAAUUAUGAGAAUGAUUCAAGAUGCCGAGAUAUACAAGGCUGAAGACCAGAAGUACCAAAAGAAAGUUCAAGCAAUUGAUGCUAGCCAGCAGACAGAAACAGAGGUGUUUGUGGAUCAUCUGAAUGAGGUGAAGAGCCUCAUUGAACUCAUUAUGAGGAUUAACUAGUUUGUUUCAAAACUCAAAUUUGGAAAAUCGAUUAUGCUUCUUGAAAAACAUCACAAUCGAUUUUUUAAAUUAUUCUGAAUGUAUAGUGUUGAUAAAAAAAAUAAGAUAAACCAGUUAUUUAGUUUCUCAAACCACUUUUCUUGUUCCUCAAAGCACGAGCUCUCUCGUUUUGUUCUAGGAAGAAGAGCAAAUCACAACAAACAAAACUAUCACAAAACUAAUUUUAUUUAUACACAAAGUUCACGUUCAUGAGUCUACAAUUUUUUUGUCAAGAUUCUUUUGCACCCAGCACUGUAAAGAAGAAAACCGAAAACUCAUUCACAUGCAGAUGCCUACAUUGUUUAAUAUAUUUGAUGGAAGGGUAACAAAAUAAAUUAGUAUUUGUGCUUCUAUAUUCCGCGCAAAUCUUCUCAGUUUUAUGAAGAGUGAAAAAACUAUCUACCCUGCUCUCCCAUCCGCACUCACACUCUCAUAUACACUCAUCCAAACAAAAACUCUUUCCACUUCCCUUCCUCCUCUUUUGUCACACCUUGAAGCAAAUAGGAUGUAAGAUUGAGGACAUGCAAAUGAACAAGAUUACGUGAACCUUCCUAACCCAUUAGACAUCAUAUGAUAGUUUUAUUUAUAUAUUGAUUUGAUCUAUUUAGAAAAAAUGUCAAAUCUAAGCAUUUAUAAGCAAAGUUGGAAGUUUUUAGAAAAUAGUAGGCUUGAACCUCUUUUAAGUUAUAGUAUUUUUUUUUUUAUGCUAUAUCAAUAUUAUAUGAGUUAAAAUUGUUUUAAAUAAUUUUCAUUUUUGAGAUCCAUCUAAUACUCCAAACCAAACAAGCAUUAUCAACAAUUCCAUUUUUAUGCAAAAUUCAUCCAUAGAUAAAAAUAAAACAUGCAACAAAAAUAACUAACUGAAAAAUAAAUUAUACACCAUAAUAACUUUAUAUUAUCAUACAAUGACACAGUGUAAAAUAAAGAUAUUAACUUUUACUAUUAUCAAAACUUUAUCUGCCAAACGUUUAAAAUCAAACAAUUUCAACAAAAUCUUUAAAUUUUAUUGGACUUUCCUCAUCUGUAUCUAUUUCUACAGAAAUGGCUUUAACUGCUUACUCGUAUUAACAGCUACUUUCGUAUAAAAUAUAUGUUGACAAAUUAUUCAUGGGCAUAAUUUAUUCUAAAUUUUUCACCAAACACUUGCAAAUAUCACUCAAUUCACAAGAUAAACCGGGCCAUAAAUUAUCUAUUCCAGACGAAACCAUGAAGCAUAAAAUUGACAACUGAAAGUAGCUAAAUAAACUAAAAGUUCAUGAAAAUCGAGAGUUAUUUUCGUAACUUCAGAUAAGCCUUUUUCAAAAGCGAUAAAAAUGAACUCCUACUCAACCGUACAAAAUACUAAAAAUGUAGAAAAUAUCAAUACACCAAUUCUUCCAUCUUAACAAUGCAAUGCUACAUAGUAUCACUAGCAAAAUAAAACCGGUAAAACACAACUAAAAAAAAAGAUAGUCCCAGGGAACAGCAAGGGGACAAAAAUAUCAACUCUGAGGCGAUGCUUUAGCAACGGCAGUCUGAGGCUGAGUGUUCCCACUGGCAUUACCAUCGGCAGUAUAUGCUGGAGCCUGAGUAUAACCAGCACCAUAAGAACUACUGCUGUAUGGAGGCGGUGCCUGACCAUAAGUAGGCUGGCCACCCUGAGGUGCACCAUAUGUUUGAGAACCAUACCCUGGUUGCCCUGCACCAUAUCCCGAAGGUGGUGCUCUCUGAGCACCAGAUUCUGGUUGGGGUUGAGAAUAACCAGAUGGUGGAGGCUGCGCAGGAUAUGCUGACUGACCAUAGCCUCCUACCGCACUAGGUGACUGUGACUGUCCAUAAACAGGAGGAUUAGCACUUGGCUUUUGAGAUUGAGGGGCUCCAUAACCUGGCUGUGGUUGACUUCCAUAAGCAGCUUGGGAUGUAGGGGGAACCCCAUAACCUGACUGAGGAGUUCCCUGAGGUGGGUAGCUGGCAGUGUUUGAGCUGGGCUGUUGGCUGGUAGGAUAACCUUGCUGUGGCUGUUGGGUAGAUGGAGCUUGGGCUGAAUCUCCCUGAGAUGCAUAACUUGCAGUGUGGCCAUCUGGUGCUGAGUUAUUCCCACUACCAUAGCCGGUAGUAGCUGACCCAUAGCCUUGCUGCUGAUCAUAUGCUGGUGGCUGUCCAUACCCUGAUUGAGAUUGUGCAUUGUAUGCAUUAUAGCUGUCCUGAGCAUAACCCUGUC
Molecule: long non-coding RNA, 17451 nt
Filed under: Phaseolus vulgaris (common bean)
Lineage: Eukaryota; Viridiplantae; Streptophyta; Magnoliopsida; Fabales; Fabaceae
Description: long non-coding RNA (PVUL_LNC001094)
Source: RNAcentral